This is a long non-coding RNA of Myotis daubentonii (Daubenton's bat), 891 nucleotides long. RefSeq lists it as uncharacterized. The record is from RefSeq and is a predicted model, not a curated record. NCBI's taxonomy places the organism in Eukaryota, Metazoa, Chordata, Mammalia, Chiroptera, Vespertilionidae.
AGCCCUGGCGGGAUCAGGGCUGUCCGGGCUCCACCACAGAACCGCGGUGUGGCGGGGACACACCGCCUCGCCUCUCAGGACACAAUCCGUAAGCUGUUCCUACAGCGGCGCCUUCCGAGUCAAGAGACUGCUGAGACCAGCUCUCAGACUUUUUGGUCUCAGGCCCCCCGGGGAGCUUUUGUUUGCAUGGAUUACAACCAUUGAUAUUUGUAGUAUUAGCAAUUAAAAUAAAAAUUUACAAGACAAGUGUGCACAGAGACACAUCCCAUAGGCCCUCCAGACGGUGAGGUCCACAUCACGUAGCCUCUGAAAAACAACCAACUCACAAGAAAACAAGCGUGGGAAAGGCAAAUAACAGCUUGGUACUGUUAGGAAAAUAACUGCGACCACACGUCGAGAACCGCCGGCUUCAAAUGAGAUGUCAGUUUCAUCUCAGGAACUGGCUUCCCCAUUCAGUUAUCUAUUACUCCACAUUUAUUGAUGAAUAUGUGACAAGUGCUGCCACCCUUGCACAAUGCCUGGCAUCUUAAAGCUCCUGUUGGAGACCGGGUGUAAGCUGACACGGUCCUUGCACCUAAAGGGGCUAGCAAGGCUGGGACCCUUACCCACACAGUUUUCCCAGACUUGCUUGGAUGGCGGUUAUCAGUAGAAUGAGAGCAACCUUUGUAGAAUGAGAACAACCUUUCAUGGCUUAUCAAGAAGUCUGUAACUAUUUACUGAGAUUUGCUGUACCAAGAAUUUGUCCUUCCGCUCUGUCUCUCCCUUAGAGAUUAAGAGGAACAAAGAAUACAUUCCUCUUGACAGACCUCCUAUUUAGUGUUUUGUGUAUAAAAGGCAUUGCGUGGUUAAUAAACUUACUGCAGUUCCUCAAUUGAUCUGUAGUCCUCCUGA